RNAcentral lists this ribosomal RNA (608 nucleotides) under Thermoactinomyces sp. Gus2-1. RNAcentral describes it as "bacterial SSU rRNA". It matches the Rfam family "Bacterial small subunit ribosomal RNA", at positions 903 to 1520 of the family's 1533-position model. Lineage: Bacteria; Bacillati; Bacillota; Bacilli; Caryophanales; Thermoactinomycetaceae. The record is from RNAcentral.
UUCGAAUUAAACCACAUGCUCCACCGCUUGUGGUUUAAUUCGAAGCAACGCGAAGAACCUUACCAGGGCUUGACAUCCCGCUGACCCCUCCAGAGAUGGAGGUUUCCUUCGGGACAGCGGUGACAGGUGGUGCAUGGUUGUCGUCAGCUCGUGUCGUGAGAUGUUGGGUUCAGUCCCGCAACGAGCGCAACCCUUGUCGUUAGUUGCCAGCAUUUCGGAUGGGCACUCUAACGAGACAGCCGGUGAAAGCCGGAGGAAGGUGGGGAUGACGUCAAAUCAUCAUGCCCCUUAUGUCCUGGGCUACACACGUGCUACAAUGGCUGGUACAAAGGGCAGCGAACCCGCGAGGGGGAGCCAAUCCCAAAAAGCCAGUCUCAGUUCGGAUCGCAGGCUGCAACUCGCCUGCGUGAAGCCGGAAUCGCUAGUAAUCGCGGAUCAGCAUGCCGCGGUGAAUACGUUCCCGGGCCUUGUACACACCGCCCGUCACACCACGAGAGUUUGCAACACCCGAAGUCGGUGAGGCAACCUUUUAGGAGCCAGCCGCCGAAGGUGGGGCAGAUGAUUGGGGUGAAGUCGUAACAAGGUAUCCCUACCGGAAGGUGGGGAUG